GAUGAAGAACGUAGCAAAAUGCGAUAAGUAAUGUGAAUUGCAGAAUUCAGUGAAUCAUCGAAUCUUUGAACGCACAUUGCGCCCGCCAGUAUUCUGGCGGGCAUGCCUGUUCGAGCGUCAUUACGCCCCUCAAGUCCCCUGUGGACUUGGUGUUGGGGAUCGGCGAGGCUGGUUUUCCAGCACAGCCGUCCCUUAAAUUAAUUGGCGGUCUCGCCGUGGCCCUCCUCUGCGCAGUAGUAAAACACUCGCAACAGGAGCCCGGCGCGGUCCACUGCCGUAAAACCCCCCAACUUUUUAUAGUUGACCUCGAAUCAGGUAGGACUACCCGCUGAACUUAAGCAUAUCAAUAAGCGGAGGA
Molecule: unclassified non-coding RNA, 358 nt
Filed under: soil metagenome
Description: partial contains 5.8S ribosomal RNA, internal transcribed spacer 2, and large subunit ribosomal RNA
Rfam family: 5.8S ribosomal RNA (bases 1-120)
Source: RNAcentral